AUGCAUUCGUAUCUACGGCAAGAAGUGUUGGGAGUUACGCCUUUAAAGAUGUGAUGCGUGAGAAAUCGAACGCGCUUGGGACGCUCAAACUCUGUAAAAUCCC
RNAcentral lists this small RNA (103 nucleotides) under Helicobacter pylori. Its description in RNAcentral is "HPnc0580". It matches the Rfam family "Heliobacter pylori small RNA HPnc0580". The record is from RNAcentral. Lineage: Bacteria; Pseudomonadati; Campylobacterota; Epsilonproteobacteria; Campylobacterales; Helicobacteraceae.